CUUUAGGUCUUCCAACUUUAAUAAUUCCAAAAGCUUGUUUUCUCGACAUUUUAUGCUCAAAAACAAGUAAACUUUCCGCGUUUAGUUGGGUACCAUUAUCUCACUGCUUGAACGAGUAAUGACUAAAGAGACUUCAGAUACAGAAUCUAGAUGAGUUAUUCUGGGUCUUCCGCCCAUUAUCUUGUCUUUGUGAAGCAUACUUUUGCUAUUACAAGGGACGAAUUAUGGCCUAGUCAGGCUAGUCGCCCAUUGUGGCGAUGGAAAAUAACAGCUAGAGUAUACUAGUAUCCGGAUUCCUCCGCUUUCUAGGGUAAAUAGCUUGAUUUCCCGGGAACGGAAGUUUCCUAUCCCUUUCAUUUACUCUAAUAUCUAUGACCGGAUGUAAUUAACUGAUAGGUUUUGCCAGAAGAAUGGAUUGGAUAUGAUUGUAAGGAGUCACGAGGUGAAGGAGGAAGGUUAUGACUCUCAUGCUUCACAGUUUCAGGUAGAAUUUGCUAUUGAAAUGGAAUAUCAUUUUUAUAUAGGUGGAAGACAAUAACUAUUAGCGUUGCAAGCAGAGUUGCUUAGUGCUGAGCAACUCUUUACAAUGAUGUACAAGCAUUGAAAACUGAGGGAUUUGCAAAAAAGUGUGGCAUUCCUAGCCCAGGAUAACUACUUUUUAGGCUAGAUUCUAAAGCUCAAUAUAAGGCUAUUUCAAAGGGUCUCCUUAUCUUUAAAAAGCAGUGAUUUCAAGGAUAUUGAACUAUUAUAAUUUUAAUUGUGUAAUUAAAUUAAAUCAGUAUCUCAGUAUAGUGUUGCAUGCAAUAGCACUGAUAAAAAUUAAUCAUAAAA
Amphimedon queenslandica is the source of this 831-nucleotide long non-coding RNA. RefSeq lists it as uncharacterized. The transcript is spliced from 3 exons. The record is from RefSeq and is a predicted model, not a curated record. Lineage: Eukaryota; Metazoa; Porifera; Demospongiae; Haplosclerida; Niphatidae.